UGGUGGCUAAUAGUACAGAAACAAUUCAACGAUUUCCACAGAACAGCUCUAGUGGCCUGUACUGGGUAUACAGUGCCAGGGUUAUUAGCAGGACUGUAAGAGAAUUCCUCCAAAUUUUACAAAACUUUCAGUUUAAAGCUUUCUCUUAUUAUUUGACAAGAGCUCUUCAACUUCUCACUACAGGGCAGUGUUACAUCAUUUAUAGAGGCUGUUGCACCAAGUUUCAUUACCAUGGGAGAGGCAAUGCAAUUUUGGCCAAUUUUCCUUGUAUUUUUUUCCCUCAACAAAUAGCUACUCAUACACACCAUAUUUUAAUAGAAAGCCUCAGUCCUUGUCAUCAGAACCUUCUUAGAAGUUUCUAUUAGAGAUAUGCUUUUGGCCCACGUGAAGAUGAAGUGCUGAUUCCAAGCUCUAAGGUGUUUCAGAAUGUCACCCUUAAAAACAAUAAUAAUGUUAACUUUGAAAAAAUAAAGCCAGUAAUUUCUACUGCUUCUCAGUU
This 499-nucleotide long non-coding RNA is filed under the name Homo sapiens (human). RNAcentral describes it as "non-protein coding lnc-INPPL1-5:1". The record is from RNAcentral. Lineage: Eukaryota; Metazoa; Chordata; Mammalia; Primates; Hominidae.